Molecule: ribosomal RNA, 403 nt
Filed under: uncultured bacterium
Lineage: Bacteria
Description: partial 16S ribosomal RNA
Rfam family: Bacterial small subunit ribosomal RNA
Source: RNAcentral
GACGAACGCUGGCGGCGUGCCUAAUACAUGCAAGUCGAACGCAGUGGGGACGGGUGAGUAACACGUGGGUAACCUCCCAUCAGAGGGGAUAACACUUGGAAACAGGUGCUAAACUGAUACUGAUGGAUGGACCCGCGGUGCAUUAGCUAGUUGGUGAGGUAACGGCUCACAAAGGCCACGAUGCAUAGCUGACCUGUGAGGGGGACCGGCCACACGGGGACUGAGACACGGCCAAGACGCCUACGGGAGGCAGCAGGGGGGAAUCUUGGGCAAUGGACGAAAGUCUGACCGAGAAACGCCGCGUGAGUGAAGAAGGUUAUAGGAUCGUAAAACUCUGUUGUUAGAGCAGCGGUAUCUAACCAGAAAGCCACGGCUAACUACGUGCCAGCAGCCGCGGUAAUUC